This 76-nucleotide transfer RNA is filed under the name Chloroflexota bacterium. RNAcentral's name for it is "Chloroflexi bacterium tRNA-Arg". It matches the Rfam family "tRNA". Rfam says of the family: Transfer RNA (tRNA) molecules are approximately 80 nucleotides in length. Their secondary structure includes four short double-helical elements and three loops (D, anti-codon, and T loops). Lineage: Bacteria; Bacillati; Chloroflexota. The record is from RNAcentral.
GUCCCAGUAGCUCAGUGGACAGAGCGGCUGCCUUCUAAGCAGCUGGCCGCGGGUUCGAAUCCUGCCUGGGACGCCA